Molecule: ribosomal RNA, 497 nt
Filed under: uncultured bacterium
Lineage: Bacteria
Description: partial 16S ribosomal RNA
Rfam family: Bacterial small subunit ribosomal RNA
Source: RNAcentral
GACGAACGCUGGCGGCGUGCCUAAUACAUGCAAGUAGAACGCUGAAGAGAGGAGCUUGCUCUUCUUGGAUGAGUUGCGAACGGGUGAGUAACGCGUAGGUAACCUGCCUUGUAGCGGGGGAUAACUAUUGGAAACGAUAGCUAAUACCGCAUAACAAUGGAUGACACAUGUCAUUUAUUUGAAAGGGGCAAUUGCUCCACUACAAGAUGGACCUGCGUUGUAUUAGCUAGUAGGUGAGGUAAUGGCUCACCUAGGCGACGAUACAUAGCCGACCUGAGAGGGUGAUCGGCCACACUGGGACUGAGACACGGCCCAGACUCCUACGGGAGGCAGCAGUAGGGAAUCCUCGGGAAUGGGGGCAACCCUGACCGAGCAACGCCGCGUGAGGGAAGAAGGUUUUCGGAUCGUAAAGCUCUGGUGUAAGUCAAGAACGGGUGGUAGAGUGGAAAGUGCACACUUUGACGGUAGCUUACCAGAAAGGGACGGCUAACUACGUG